ACACCGGCAGCUCGAGUGGUAGCUGUUUUUAUUGGGCCUAAAGCGUUCGUAGCCGGUUUAAUAAGUCUUUGGUGAAAGCUUGUAGCUUAACUAUAAGAAUUGCUGGAGAUACUAUUGGACUUGAAGUCGGGAGAGGUUAGAGGUACUACCGGGGUAGGGGUGAAAUCCUAUAAUCCUGGGAGGACCACCUGUGGCGAAGGCGUCUAACUGGAACGAUCUUGACGGUGAGUAACGAAAGCCAGGGGCGCGAACCGGAUUAGAUAGCCGGGUAGUCCUGGCCGUAAACGAUGUGGACUUGGUGUUGGAAUGGCUUUGAGUUGUUCCGGUGCCGAAGGGAAGCUGUUAAGUCCACCGCCUGGGAAGUACGGUCGCAAGAUUGAAACUCAAAGGAAUUGACGGGG
Molecule: ribosomal RNA, 401 nt
Filed under: uncultured bacterium
Lineage: Bacteria
Description: partial 16S ribosomal RNA
Rfam family: Archaeal small subunit ribosomal RNA
Source: RNAcentral